CCUACGGGAGGCAGCAGUGGGGAAUAUUGGGCAAUGGAGGAAACUCUGACCCAGCGACGCCGCGUGCGGGAUGAAGGCCUUCGGGUUGUAAACCGCUUUCAGUAGGGAAGAAGCGAAAGUGACGGUACCUACAGAAGAAGCACCGGCUAACUAUGUGCCAGCAGCCGCGGUAAUACAUAGGGUGCAAGCGUUGUCCGGAAUUAUUGGGCGUAAAGAGCUCGUAGGUGGUUCGUCACGUCGGAUGUGAAAAUCUGGGGCUCAACCCCAGACCUGCAUUCGAUACGGGCGAUCUAGAGUGUGGUAGGGGAGACUGGAAUUCCUGGUGUAGCGGUGGAAUGCGCAGAUAUCAGGAGGAACACCAAUGGCGAAGGCAGGUCUCUGGGCCAUUACUGACACUGAGGAGCGAAAGCGUGGGGAGCGAACAGGAUUAGAUACCCUGGUAGUCCACGCCGUAAACGGUGGGCACUAGUUGUGGGAACCUUCCACGGUUUCUGCGACGCAGCUAACGCAUUAAGUGCCCCGCCUGGGGAGUACGAUCGCAAGNUUAAAACUCAAAUGAAUUGACGGCUGAGACGNGCGACGACGACGACGAGGGAGAGG
Molecule: ribosomal RNA, 600 nt
Filed under: uncultured bacterium
Lineage: Bacteria
Description: bacterial SSU rRNA
Rfam family: Bacterial small subunit ribosomal RNA
Source: RNAcentral